GCUAAACAUAUUACCGAAGCUGUGGAUUGUCCUUUGGACAAUGGUAGGAGAGCGUUCUAAGGGCGUUGAAGCAUGAUCGCAAGGACAUGUGGAGCGCUUAGAAGUGAGAAUGCCGGUGUGAGUAGCGAAAGACGGGUGAGAAUCCCGUCCACCGAUUGACUAAGGUUUCCAGAGGAAGGCUCGUCCGCUCUGGGUUAGUCGGGUCCUAAGCUGAGGCCGACAGGCGUAGGCGAUGGAUAACAGGUUGAUAUUCCUGUACCACCAUUAUUCGUUUUAAGCGAUGGGGGGACGCAGUAGGAUAGGCGAAGCGUGCUGUUGGAGUGCACGUCCAAGCAGUGAGAUUGAGUGUUAGGCAAAUCCGGCACUCUUAAGAUUGAGCUGUGAUGGGGAGAGGAACUUGUUCCUCGAGUCGUUGAUUUCACACUGCCGAGAAAAGCCUCUAGCUAGAAUAACGGUGCCCGUACCGCAAACCGACACAGGUAGUCAAGAUGAGAAUUCUAAGGUGAGCGAGCGAACUCUCGUUAAGGAACUCGGCAAAAUGACCCCGUAACUUCGGGAGAAGGGGUGCUCUUUGAGGUUCACGCUUCGAAGAGCCGCAGUGAAUAGGCCCAAGCGACUGUUUAUCAAAAACACAGGUCUCUGCUAAACCGUAAGGUGACGUAUAGGGGCUGACGCCUGCCCGGUGCUGGAAGGUUAAGAGGAGUGGUUAGCGCAAGCGAAGCUACGAAUCGAAGCCCCAGUAAACGGCGGCCGUAACUAUAACGGUCCUAAGGUAGCGAAAUUCCUUGUCGGGUAAGUUCCGACCCGCACGAAAGGCGUAACGAUUUGGGCACUGUCUCAACGAGAGACUCGGUGAAAUCAUAGUACCGGUGAAGAUGCCGGUUACCCGCGACAGGACGGAAAGACCCCGUGGAGCUUUACUGUAGCCUGAUAUUGAAAUUCGGUACAGUUUGUACAGGAUAGGUAGGAGCCUUAGAAGCGUGAGCGCUAGCUUACGUGGAGGCAUUGGUGGGAUACUACCCUAAUUGUAUUGGAUUUCUAACCCGCAGCACUUAUCGUGCUGGGAGACAGUGUCAGGCGGGCAGUUUGACUGGGGCGGUCGCCUCCUAAAGAGUAACGGAGGCGCUCAAAGGUUCCCUCAGAAUGGUUGGAAAUCAUUCAUAGAGUGUAAAGGCAUAAGGGAGCUUGACUGCGAGACCUACAAGUCGAGCAGGGUCGAAAGACGGACUUAGUGAUCCGGUGGUUCCGCAUGGAAGGGCCAUCGCUCAACGGAUAAAAGCUACCCCGGGGAUAACAGGCUUAUCUCCCCCAAGAGUUCACAUCGACGGGGAGGUUUGGCACCUCGAUGUCGGCUCAUCGCAUCCUGGGGCUGUAGUCGGUCCCAAGGGUUGGGCUGUUCGCCCAUUAAAGCGGUACGCGAGCUGGGUUCAGAACGUCGUGAGACAGUUCGGUCCCUAUCCGUCGUGGGCGUAGGAAAUUUGAGAGGAGCUGUCCUUAGUACGAGAGGACCGGGAUGGACAUACCUCUGGUGUACCAGUUGUCGUGCCAACGGCAUAGCUGGGUAGCUAUGUAUGGACGGGAUAAGUGCUGAAAGCAUCUAAGCAUGAAGCCCCCCU
This 1616-nucleotide ribosomal RNA is filed under the name Staphylococcus pseudintermedius. Its description in RNAcentral is "partial 23S ribosomal RNA". It matches the Rfam family "Bacterial large subunit ribosomal RNA", at positions 1180 to 2799 of the family's 2925-position model. The record is from RNAcentral. Lineage: Bacteria; Bacillati; Bacillota; Bacilli; Caryophanales; Staphylococcaceae.